AUUGUUAUCAUUAUGUUUGUCUGGAAAUCAGCAGAAUGGGGGUGUUGAUUUCCAGCGGGUGGGUUUUCCUUUGUCCCUUUUUUUUUUUUUUUUUUUUGUUCUAACCCAGAUUUUCAUGUUUAACAGGCCCACAGCUGAUCCAUCCCCCAGUACACAAUUGAGACAGAGGAGGUUAAAGCACUCUGAACGCAUGGGACCAUAUUGCAGGUCAGAGAAGAAAGCGAGAAUGAAGUUCUGUUUAAAGAAGGUGAUAACAAACGUCCAAGCCAAAAAGAAAAAGGAUUUUGAAUGGAGUGGUGAUUCUUUAUGCAGAGCUGAGACGCGACACCUUCCAGACGGUAUUUGUGCCUGUGGCAGGGUCUUGGUCUUUUGUUCUCCUCCUGCUCCUCCUCUGCAUCACAAGACGACCCGCAUGCACACGAGCUUCAGACAGAUGCGCAGAGGCUGUAAUGAAGAGCUCUUGAACUCCCAGUCAGAGAAGCUGUGA
Long non-coding RNA from Dicentrarchus labrax (European seabass), 487 nucleotides. The record is from Ensembl. Lineage: Eukaryota; Metazoa; Chordata; Actinopteri; Moronidae.